This 459-nucleotide ribosomal RNA is filed under the name Triticum aestivum (bread wheat). RNAcentral's name for it is "partial small subunit ribosomal RNA". Lineage: Eukaryota; Viridiplantae; Streptophyta; Magnoliopsida; Poales; Poaceae. The record is from RNAcentral.
AUGUCGUCCCAGUCAACUUCAGUACCAUCAGUAACAGCCGAGUUGUUACAGAAUGACAAACGAGCAGCCUGCUUAACUCUGAAAAAACCUGCACGUGCCACCAAUUAUAAGAAAAUAUUAGUUAGAAGUAGCAUCUUCGUGAGAGAUUCGUUGCUACUUCUAAAGUUAAAUUGUGAUUGGUUAGACAGAAUAGGUGGAUUAAGAAGUAACCGAGGUAACAAGCAAGAACCAGAUACAAAACUAACAUGGAUGAACAAUUGGUAUGACGUCGGGGUGAAAGAUCGCAGUGAAGAUGAGACCAGGUUCUGCUAUUUCCAUCAACAUUCGUGCGCCAACUUUCAGUCCGUAACACUUGAGAAAGUUUAUCCAAGUUUGGCCAUAAAAAAAGCAGCGAUCUUCUUGGUUCAUGAACCCAACUCGGAACUUAUAUCCAUGGCUUGUCUUCACUGUGACCAUUAA